GAAGGACUAAGAAACAACGGGCUCGCGCUGAAGUCCGUAUUGCUGGCGUUUGCACCGCAGGUUUGACCAGACAAAACGAGGCGCUCACAUCUUGCCAAGCUGGACACGUCCAAAAAGAAAGAAAGAAAGAGGAUAGCUCAAGAGGGUCGGAUUAUGGGCAGGGUUUCUGCUGUCCCUGCUGCACUGAUACACAGAAAACAACCCUAACAAAACUAACCCUAACCCUGGCCCACCAGUCCAUGCUCCUCAGUGGAAUUACUGCAUAAUGUUUGUUAAAAUUGUGUAAAUUUCUGAAAUUGUAAAACUGCCUUUCUGCAUGCCUGUCUGCUUGUCAAAUUCUUGUAAUGGUGCAUGUCUAUGUUUGUUUGUUCUUUUAUAUUGUUGAAACUCUGUUUAAUUCUAAAUACCAAUAUGAAUAAAUUAGUUUUAAACAACUGUUGUUGAUUGAAAUGCCCUGUCAAAUACAAUGAAAAUGGAUGUAAAAGACCCUGAACUGCCACUCACUGCAAUGUCAAUGUAACUCCUUGUCAUGAGUGUCUAAUUAUAAUUUUACGAGUAGCGUAUAGUAAUCAGCAAAUGUCCACGUUGCU
Molecule: long non-coding RNA, 590 nt
Organism: Anguilla rostrata (American eel)
Lineage: Eukaryota; Metazoa; Chordata; Actinopteri; Anguilliformes; Anguillidae
Exons: 3
Source: RefSeq, a predicted model, not a curated record